CCUACGGGAGGCAGCAGUGAGGAAUAUUGGUCAAUGGGAGAGAUCCUGAACCAGCCAAGCCGCGUGAGGGAAGACGGCCCUAUGGGUUGUAAACCUCUUUUGUCGGAGAACAAAACCCGGGACGUGUCCCGGACUGCGUGUAUCCGAAGAAAAAGCAUCGGCAAAGUCCGUGCCAGCAGCCGCGGUAAUACGGAGGAUGCGAGCGUUAUCCGGAUUUAUUGGGUUUAAAGGGUGGGUAGGCGGUCCGUUAAGUCAGCGGUAAAAUGGCGGGGCUCAACCCCGUCGAGCCGUUGAAACUGGCAGACUUGAGUGGGCGAGAAGUACGCGGAAUGCGCGGUGUAGCGGUGAAAUGCAUAGAUAUCGCGCAGAACUCCGAUUGCGAAGGCAGCGUACCGGCGCCAGACUGACGCUGAGGCACGAAAGCGUGGGGAUCGAACAGGAUUAGAUACCCGAGUAGUC
Molecule: ribosomal RNA, 459 nt
Filed under: uncultured bacterium
Lineage: Bacteria
Description: partial 16S ribosomal RNA
Rfam family: Bacterial small subunit ribosomal RNA
Source: RNAcentral